This 440-nucleotide ribosomal RNA is filed under the name uncultured bacterium. RNAcentral describes it as "partial 16S ribosomal RNA". It matches the Rfam family "Bacterial small subunit ribosomal RNA", at positions 338 to 795 of the family's 1533-position model. The record is from RNAcentral.
CCUACGGGAGGCAGCAGUGGGGAAUAUUGCACAAUGGGGGAAACCCUGAUGCAGCGACGCCGCGUGAGUGAAGAAGUAAUUCGUUAUGUAAAGCUCUAUCAGCAGGGAAGAAAAUGACGGUACCUGAGUACUAAGCCCCGGCUAACUCCGUGCCAGCAGCCGCGGUAAUACGUAGGGGGCAAGCGUUACCCGGAUUUACUGGGUGUAAAGGGAGCGUAGACGGGAGUGCAAGUCUGGAGUGAAAGCCGGGGGCUCAACCCCCGGACUGCUCUGGAAACUGUUCGGCUGGAGUGCGGGAGAGGUAGGUGGAAUUCCUGGUGUAGCGGUGAAAUGCGUAGAUAUUAGGAGGAACACCAGUGGCGAAGGCGGCUUACUGGACUGUAACUGACGUUGAGGCUCGAAAGCGUGGGGAGCAAACAGGAUUAGAUACCCUUGUAGUC